GAUGAAGAACGUAGCGAAAUGCGAUAGGUAGUGUGAAUUGCAGAUGUAACGUGAAUCAUCGAAUCUUUGAACGCAAAUUGCACUCUCUGGUAUUCCGGGGAGUAUGCCUGUUUGAGGGUCGCCAAAUCAACAUCGAAAUUCAUUUGCUUUUGUAAAUGUUUAUCGGAUUUGAGCCGUCUUUUAUUUUUUUAAUUAAAGUGGCUUAAAAUGUAUUUUUUGGUAUCGAAAAACGUUAUUUUACGAUAAAAUUGAUUAAAAAAACAAACGUUUCGAAUGCCGUCUUUUAAUGUAAUACGCUUGACUGUGGUGUUAAUCAUAGUUUCAUUCGUAUACGAUUUUUUAAUUUUUGACCUCAAAUCAGGUAAGAACACCCGCUGAACUUAAGCAUAUCAAUAAGCGGAGGA
Molecule: unclassified non-coding RNA, 404 nt
Filed under: soil metagenome
Description: partial contains 5.8S ribosomal RNA, internal transcribed spacer 2, and large subunit ribosomal RNA
Rfam family: 5.8S ribosomal RNA (bases 1-121)
Source: RNAcentral